This 253-nucleotide ribosomal RNA is filed under the name uncultured bacterium. RNAcentral describes it as "partial 16S ribosomal RNA". It matches the Rfam family "Bacterial small subunit ribosomal RNA", at positions 524 to 776 of the family's 1533-position model. The record is from RNAcentral.
UACGUAGGGUGCAAGCGUUAAUCGGAAUUACUGGGCGUAAAGCGUGCGCAGGCGGUUAUUUAAGCCAGAUGUGAAAUCCCCGGGCUUAACCUGGGGACUGCAUUUGGGACUGGAAGGCUAGAGUAUGGCAGAGGGGGGUGGAAUUCCACGUGUAGCAGUGAAAUGCGUAGAGAUGUGGAGGAACACCGAUGGCGAAGGCAGCCCCCUGGGCCUAUACUGACGCUCAUGCACGAAAGCGUGGGGAGCAAACAGG